This 253-nucleotide ribosomal RNA is filed under the name uncultured bacterium. RNAcentral's name for it is "partial 16S ribosomal RNA". It matches the Rfam family "Bacterial small subunit ribosomal RNA", at positions 524 to 776 of the family's 1533-position model. The record is from RNAcentral.
UACGUAGGGGGCGAGCGUUGUCCGGAUUUAUUGGGCGUAAAGAGCGUGUAGGCGGCCAGGUAGGUCUGCUGUGAAAACUCGAGGCUCAACCUCGAGACGUCGGCGGAAACCAUCUGGCUAGAGUCCGGAAGAGGAGAGUGGAAUUCCUGGUGUAGCGGUGAAAUGCGUAGAGAUCAUGAGGAAGACCAGUGGCGAAGGCGGGUCUCUGGACAGUUCCUGACACUGAGACACGAAGGCCAGGGGAGCAAACGGG